AUUCACUUGGCCACAUGGCACGAAGCUGGGAAGACGGACACCGGUGAGUGGCUGCCCGGGAGGGCUGGUCGGGGCGCGGACAGGCGGGCAUGGUUCUGCCAAGGAUUUUGCUUUAUUUAUCGCAAGACGGGGGGUAUUUCCUCCUUUCUUCAGUUUAUAAUUGCAUGAAUUAGUGCAGUGAAUUGAGGAUGCAGUAAAAAUAUCUUCAAAGAUUAUUAAAUUCGUUAUUAUAAAACACAUAGAAGAGUUUAUGUGUGUAUAUGGAAAGCAGGUAUACAUCAAUAAUUCUUAAUGAAUACAAGAAAGAACUACCAAUAUUGGGGCAAAUUUUUCAAAUACAAACAUCAGUGAAUAUAGGCAAGGCCUUUUCUUUUUUAUUAUUCUAUUUUAAGUUCUAGGGUACAUGUGCACAACGUGCAGGUUUGUUACAUAGGUCGACAUGUGCCGGCAACGCCUUUUCAAUAAUGUCUUACAAGGAGAAACGUGGCUCCUCUAGGUGAGCAGCCCUCAGUGCGCAUCUCCCUGAAGUCCACAUUGAUCCGGCAGAGCUGUGGGGUUCACAGCUCACACUGAGGCAUUCAGGGCCUAAACCCCACUUUACUCUUUUGUACAAUGAAUGGGAAAUCAGUGAUCUAAAUGAGUUUAAAUCUUAUUAGGGAUUCAGCCUGCCCUUCAGACUCUGUCUCUAUUCCUCCCAGAGCUGGGUUCAACAUGAAUUCAAAUACAAAUAUGAGACAAUGAAUUAUGGUAGUGACAAAGACCUUCCUUCGAAUUUCGGAUUUUUCUAGCAGCCCCUUUCUUUCUGCUUCCCACCUGCCUUCAACUCUUUCUCCUAAAAAAGUUCAGUUGGGGUGAACGUUUGGUGACUUAGAACAUCAUUAUUUUAACGUGAUCCCAAAGCGGUUUUCAUUAUAUGCAAAGCUGUAUAUUUAUUUACAUUUUUAAAAAUGUUCUAAAUUGGUUUCUUAUGUCCAAAAGAAGGGGAGCUAGUUAUAAGAAAAGAGAAUUGAGUAACAUAAGAAAGUGCUAAUCAUUUCAAAUUAAAGUGGGAAACAUGCAAAGCAGAAAGAAUCAAUUUCAUAAACUCAACAAAUUAUUAACAUAAACAAUUCCAAACUCUUGUAUCUAUAUAACAUCAGUGAUCUGUGAGGUGAAAUGAGAUUCUGAAGAAAAACUAAAUAAUAAGGCCAUUUUUCUAAGCCAAAAAAGUUUUUGUCAUUAAUUGUGGAAUUUCACCAAUCAAUUUUUUUCUAAUAAAAGUUUCUUAAACUUUUAGUGCCUACUAUUGCUUGUAGGUUAAUAAACCCUAGCAGAAAACAAAAUCAUUAAUGAAAUGGAAAACAAACAUUAAUGGGAAAUUUGUGUAACCUUAAUUCUUAACGUGUCUUAUGAGUUAAUUUUUAAAAUGUGAAGUUUUAUUCUUGGUGUUUGGUAAUUAACUAAGUUUAUUAAUCUCUCACAAAUAUGAGGAAUUUUAUUCCCUAAAGGAACGUGAGGAACACGAGUAGUUCAAGAAAAUGCUGAAGAUGCGCUUGGCUGGGAAGCUAGGAUAGGCUGACGAAGUCAGACUUAGUGUGGGAACCUGGCUGGGAAAGGGUUUCUUUUGGCCAUAAAAGCUACUCCAAUGGCUGUGGGAGACUUAAUUCCAAUUCCAGGUGAUACAGCCGUCAGUCUCCCACUAGCUGUAGGAUGGUGUGCUGCAGUUCACAGGGUAAAGGAGAUAGAAGUGGAUGAAAUGAGAGAGUAUUUUUUUAACUGAACUCUGAUUAAUGCCAAAAGUGUUCAAUCACUAUGUGUGGGGAAGCUUCCUGGUACAAAGGAAAAAAAACAGGUUGUUCAUACACUUGGCUGUGUUAGUAAGUGACCUAAGUCAAUGUUAGUCUACUACUGUACAUCUGGUAACCUCAAUCCCUGCAACCGAGGCAAAAUGGGAUUCCAGGUCUUGGCAACCUUUGAAAUUCCAAUUCCAUUUGCGAGAGCUUUGAGGAGGCCAUAUGCUGAUUUUACCACCAGCAACUUCACAACCCAGUACUGGAAUGCCAUCAGCCAGCAGGCCCCUGCCAUCAUCUGUGACUUCUAUCUGUGGCUCACUGGAAGGAAACCCAGACAAGGCCAAGCUGGGUGAAAGAGCAAUCAGCCACCUCUGCAACCUGCCACCUCCUGCUGGCAGGAUUUGUUUUUGCAUCCUGUGAAGAGCCAAGGAGGCACCAGGGCAUAAGUCUACUCACUUAUAUCUGUUUGUCUGAAACAUAACCCAUGUUUGUUUUUACAACAAAUAAAAUUGAUCUUGAAUAAAA
RNAcentral lists this long non-coding RNA (2297 nucleotides) under Homo sapiens (human). RNAcentral describes it as "HSALNT0305847". Lineage: Eukaryota; Metazoa; Chordata; Mammalia; Primates; Hominidae. The record is from RNAcentral.